AACGCACAUUGCGCCCGCCAGCAUUCUGGCGGGCAUGCCUGUUCGAGCGUCAUUUCAACCCUCAAGCCCAGCUUGGUGUUGGGGCCCUACGCCUGGCGUAGUCCCCUAAAGGUAGUGGCGGACCCUCCCGGAGCCUCCUUUGCGUAGUAACUAACGUCUCGCACUGGGAUCCGGAGGGACCUCUCGCCGUAAAACCCCCAAUUUUUCUAAGGUUGACCUCGGAUCAGGUAGGAAUACCCGCUGAACUUAA
RNAcentral lists this unclassified non-coding RNA (250 nucleotides) under uncultured Glomerellales. RNAcentral describes it as "sequence contains 5.8S rRNA gene, ITS2, 28S rRNA gene". Lineage: Eukaryota; Fungi; Ascomycota; Sordariomycetes; Glomerellales. The record is from RNAcentral.